AGCGGAGGAAAAGAAACUAACAAGGAUUCCCUCAGUAAUGGCGAAUGAACAGGGAAAAGCUCAAAUUUAAAAUCGUAAUUUUUCAAAUUACGAAUUGUAAUUUAAAGAAAAUUAAUUAUAGUAAUAAAGCAUAUUAAAGUUGGCUGGAAAGCUACUACAGAGAAGGUGAUAUACCUGUAACUGAUAUGAUUUUAUUAUUAAAAUAUUAACUUUCAAAGAGUCAGGUUGCUUGGGACUGCAGCCUAAAAUGGGAGGUAAAUUUCUUCUAAAGCUAAAUAUUGGUAAGAGACCGAUAGCGAACAAGUACCGUGAGGGAAAGAUGAAAUAGAACCUUGAAAAGGGGUUUAAAAGGAAGUGAAAUUGUUAAAAGGGAAACGCUUAAAAUGGGUAAAAAUAUUAUUAAAAGAAAUGUUUUUAAAUAUUUUAAUUAAUAAUGUUUAUGGUUAAUAGUAAUUUUUAAUGAUAUAAACGAUUAUUAUAAAGGUAUGUUGAAUUUUAUUUAACAACUUAUAGUAUAAUAAUAAUAAUAUUUUUAAAGAUUAUUUUUAUAAAUUAUAAAAUGAUAUUAAAUUUAUUGAAAUUAAUUAAAUGGUUUACCUUUUAAUUUUUGGCUAUGAAGAUUUAAUUUUAUUUAAAAAUUUAU
This 643-nucleotide ribosomal RNA is filed under the name Conidiobolus nanodes. Its description in RNAcentral is "LSU rRNA". The stretch from base 1 to 314 matches the Rfam family "Eukaryotic large subunit ribosomal RNA", at positions 49 to 358 of the family's 3401-position model. Lineage: Eukaryota; Fungi; Entomophthoromycota; Entomophthoromycetes; Entomophthorales; Conidiobolaceae. The record is from RNAcentral.